This 476-nucleotide ribosomal RNA is filed under the name uncultured bacterium. RNAcentral describes it as "bacterial SSU rRNA". It matches the Rfam family "Bacterial small subunit ribosomal RNA", at positions 26 to 518 of the family's 1533-position model. The record is from RNAcentral.
AGGACGAACGGCUGGCGGCGUGCUUAACACAUGCAAGUCGAGCGAUGAAGUCCUUCGGGAACGGAUUAGCGGCGGACGGGUGAGUAACACGUGGGUAACCUGCCUCAUAGAGGGGAAUAGCCUUUCGAAAGGAAGAUUAAUACCGCAUAAGAUUGUAGCUUCGCAUGAAGCAGCAAUUAAAGGAGUAAUCCGCUAUGAGAUGGACCCGCGUCGCAUUAGCUAGUUGGUGAGGUAACGGCUCACCAAGGCGACGAUGCGUAGCCGACCUGAGAGGGUGAUCGGCCACAUUGGGACUGAGACACGGCCCAGACUCCUACGGGAGGCAGCAGUGGGGAAUAUUGCACAAUGGGGGAAACCCUGAUGCAGCCAACGCCGCGUGAGUGAUGACGGUCUUCGGAUUGUAAAACUCUGUCUUCAGGGACGAUAAUGACGGUACCUGAGGAGGAAGCCACGGCUAACUACGUGCCAGCAGCCGC